ACAAACCAAAUGAUGAUUGAAAGCAUAGUUCAGCAGAAUUAUUAUGUUGACUUAUCAUUUUCGCCCCUAUUUGAUGGUUUGU
Molecule: small nucleolar RNA, 82 nt
Organism: Hydractinia symbiolongicarpus
Lineage: Eukaryota; Metazoa; Cnidaria; Hydrozoa; Anthoathecata; Hydractiniidae
Product: small nucleolar RNA snR60/Z15/Z230/Z193/J17
Exons: 1
Source: RefSeq, a predicted model, not a curated record